AGAGUUUGAUCAUGGCUCAGAGCGAACGCUGGCGGCGUGCUUAACACAUGCAAGUCGAGUGCGCGUCUGUAGCAAUACAGAUGGCGCACGGCGCACGGGUGCGUAACACGUGGGUAAUCUGCCCUUCGAUGGGGAAUAUCUUCGGGAAACCGAAGCGAAUUCCGCAUAACAUUCCUUGAACUUCGGUUUGGGGACUCAAAGCCGUAAGGCGUCGGAGGAGGAACCCGCGCACGAUUAGCUAGUUGGUAGGGUAACGGCCUACCAAGGCUUUGAUCGUUAGCUGGUCUGAGAGGAUGGCCAGCCACACUGGAACUGAGACACGGUCCAGACUCCUACGGGAGGCAGCAGUGGGGAAUCUUGCACAAUGGGCGAAAGCCUGAUGCAGCGACGCCGCGUGGGGGAUGAAGCUUUUCGGAGUGUAAACCCCUUUCGACCCGGACGAAUGCCCCGCAAGGGGACUGACGGUACGGGUAUAAGAAGCCCCGGCUAACUACGUGCCAGCAGCCGCGGUAAGACGUGGGGGGCCAGCGUUGCUCGGAAUUACUGGGUGUAAAGGGUUCGUAGGCGGUGUGGCAAGUCGGGAGUGAAAUCUCUGGGCUUAACUCAGAGUCUGCUUCCGAAACUGCUGUGCUUGAGUGUGGGAGAGGCGCGUGGAAUUGCAGGUGUAGCGGUGAAAUGCGUAGAUAUCUGCAGGAACACCCGUGGCGAAAGCGGCGCGCUGGACCACUACUGACGCUGAGGAACGAAAGCUAGGGGAGCAAACAGGAUUAGAUACCCCCGUAGUCC
Molecule: ribosomal RNA, 786 nt
Filed under: uncultured bacterium
Lineage: Bacteria
Description: bacterial SSU rRNA
Rfam family: Bacterial small subunit ribosomal RNA
Source: RNAcentral